Molecule: ribosomal RNA, 278 nt
Filed under: uncultured bacterium
Lineage: Bacteria
Description: partial 16S ribosomal RNA
Rfam family: Bacterial small subunit ribosomal RNA
Source: RNAcentral
GCAGCCGCGGUAAUACGGAAGAUGCGAGCGUUAUCCGGAUUUAUUGGGUUUAAAGGGUGCGUAGGCGGGUCGGACAGUCAGUGGUGAAAUCUUGCGGCUCAACCGUAAAACUGCCAUUGAAACUAUCGACCUUGAGUGUAAAUGAGGUAUGCGGAAUGCGUGGUGUAGCGGUGAAAUGCAUAGAUAUCACGCAGAACUCCGAUUGCGAAGGCAGCAUACUGGGAUACAACUGACGCUGAAGCACGAAAGCGUGGGUAUCGAACAGGAUUAGAUACCCC